UACACAUGCAGUCGAGCGGCAGCACAGGGGAGNUUGNCUCNUGAGGUGGCGAGCGGCGGACGGGUGAGUAAUGCCUAGGGAUCUGCCCAGUCGAGGGGGAUAACAGUUGGAAACGACUGCUAAUACCGCAUACGCCCUACGGGGAAAGGAGGGGACCUUCGGGCCUUCCGCGAUUGGAUGAACCUAGGUGGGAUUAGCUAGUUGGUGAGGUAAUGGCUCACCAAGGCGACGAUCCCUAGCUGUUCUGAGAGGAUGAUCAGCCACACUGGGACUGAGACACGGCCCAGACUCCUACGGGAGGCAGCAGUGGGGAAUAUUGCACAAUGGGCGAAA
Molecule: ribosomal RNA, 333 nt
Filed under: bacterium ocnta193lb798offnp11.20
Lineage: Bacteria
Description: bacterial SSU rRNA
Rfam family: Bacterial small subunit ribosomal RNA
Source: RNAcentral